UUCAACUGUGGACCAGCCGGAUGUGCACAUGGACGAUGACGGUGUCGAUACUGAAGAAACUGUAGCUCCAACAGCAUUUCUGCAUUUUAAGAAGAAAGAGCUUAAACGACGUGAGGCCAAGAAGAAGAAGCAGCACACAGUCACCAAAAAAAUCAGUGACCUGACUAAGGAGAGAGACUCCCUCUGCCAACAAGUUGGUCAAAGUCUAUUGGAACACAAGUGUGUUAUUGCACAGUUAGUUCCUAAAAGAUAAUAGCCUAUUUGUAGCAUCGAUUAACAGCAAACACAUCUGUUCAACUGAUGACCCACAGUGAUGCUGAUUAAUUAAAUAGUAAGUCUUGGGAAAUGCAAAUGUUAAAAGAAUGUAUGCGAGUGGACUUGUAUUAUCAUAGGUAAUAAUUUCAAAUUAACAAUUGAAUUGUGUUUUCUAUCAUGUUGUUCACACAGAUAACAGUGGGACAACUGACUCAUCCUCCUCGGCCAACACAUCUCCUGGUGCAUCUUCUUUUUCUUCGUCCUUCAGUUCAUCCAGCUCCAGUUCAUCCAGCUCCAGUUCAUUCAGCUCCACUUCAUUCAACUCCUCUUCAUCCAGCACCUCAUCAACUGCUUUUUCAGAUCAGAAAUGAAGAAAAAACGCAAGAACAAAAAGAUGCACCGCCACCGGAGUCAAAAAAAAAAGGACAAAAGAAAGAAAAAGAAGACAAAAAGGGAACACAGCAGGCGAAGAGCACGUCAUCCUCAAGAGGUCAUCAAGAGAUACAAGAAAGUCCUAAAGGCUUACAAGAAAGGGAGAAAGCUGAGUUUGGCAUAUCAGAAGGUCGGUGUUGACCGAAACACCAUUGUCAGCAAUGCUCCGAUCUGUGAAUUGGCUGUGGUGGCCCCAAAGACAUAUAAGGAGUUACUGGGUGCCCACACGCCACAGCAACGACUUCAGGACUUUUCAAAAAAAUGUCUGGAAGUGAUAAAUAGUGAUCCAAACCUUUUGAGGGAUGUUGAACAUCAAAAGAAGAAGGGAAAACUGAUUCCUCUGUCCAGGAAAGCUUAGGUAUUGAAACACUGCGGGAUGGUGUCACAGAGUAGUUCAGUGUUGCUCAGGUCCGGUUGACCAAAUAUAUUGAGUUCGAAUUGUUCUACAGCAAUCCUUGUUAUAGAUUCAUUUGUUUUUUUCUGUUCUGCUCAAAAAGUUCUAAAAUUCCGUUUUAUUCUGCUGAUCUGCCAUGUGACGACUCAGUAUGUGUGGAAAAGGAAUAAACAGUGUUCAACACUUAA
Oryzias latipes (Japanese medaka) is the source of this 1269-nucleotide non-coding RNA. The record is from RefSeq and is a predicted model, not a curated record. Lineage: Eukaryota; Metazoa; Chordata; Actinopteri; Beloniformes; Adrianichthyidae.